RNAcentral lists this ribosomal RNA (450 nucleotides) under uncultured bacterium. Its description in RNAcentral is "bacterial SSU rRNA". It matches the Rfam family "Bacterial small subunit ribosomal RNA", at positions 354 to 796 of the family's 1533-position model. The record is from RNAcentral.
GUGGGGAAUUUUGGACAAUGGGCGCAAGCCUGAUCCAGCAAUGCCGCGUGCAGGAAGAAGGCCUUCGGGUUGUAAACUGCUUUUGUACGGAACGAAACGGCUCUGGUUAAUACCCGGGGCUAAUGACGGUACCGUAAGAAUAAGCACCGGCUAACUACGUGCCAGCAGCCGCGGUAAUACGUAGGGUGCAAGCGUUAAUCGGAAUUACUGGGCGUAAAGCGUGCGCAGGCGGUUUUGUAAGACAGGCGUGAAAUCCCCGGGCGCAACCUGGGAAUGGCGCUUGUGACUGCAAAGCUGGAGUGCGGCAGAGGGGGAUGGAAUUCCGCGUGUAGCAGUGAAAUGCGUAGAUAUGCGGAGGAACACCGAUGGCGAAGGCAAUCCCCUGGGCCUGCACUGACGCUCAUGCACGAAAGCGUGGGGAGCAAACAGGAUUAGAAACCCCAGUAGUCC